RNAcentral lists this ribosomal RNA (253 nucleotides) under uncultured bacterium. RNAcentral describes it as "partial 16S ribosomal RNA". It matches the Rfam family "Bacterial small subunit ribosomal RNA", at positions 524 to 776 of the family's 1533-position model. The record is from RNAcentral.
UACGUAGGGUGCGAGCGUUAAUCGGAAUUACUGGGCGUAAAGUGUGCGCAGGCGGCCAUGCAAGUCGAGUGUGAAAGCCCCGGGCUUAACUUGGGAAUUGCGCUCGAAACUACGUGGCUGGAGUGUGGCAGAGGAAGGUGGAAUUCCACGUGUAGCGGUGAAAUGCGUAGAGAUGUGGAGGAACACCAAUGGCGAAGGCAGCCUUCUGGGCCAACACUGACGCUCAUGCACGAAAGCGUGGGGAGCAAACGGG